This 468-nucleotide ribosomal RNA is filed under the name uncultured bacterium. Its description in RNAcentral is "partial 16S ribosomal RNA". It matches the Rfam family "Bacterial small subunit ribosomal RNA", at positions 28 to 507 of the family's 1533-position model. The record is from RNAcentral.
GACGAACGCUGGCGGCGUGCUUAACACAUGCCAGUCGAACGGAAAGGCCCUGCUUUUGUGGGGUGCUCGAGUGGCGAACGGGUGAGUAACACGUGAGUAACCUGCCCUUGACUUUGGGAUAACUUCAGGAAACUGGGGCUAAUACCGGAUAGGAGCUCCUGCUGCAUGGUGGGGGUUGGAAAGUUUCGGCGGUUGGGGAUGGACUCGCGGCUUAUCAGCUUGUUGGUGGGGUAGUGGCUUACCAAGGCUUUGACGGGUAGCCGGCCUGAGAGGGUGACCGGCCACAUUGGGACUGAGAGACGGCCCAGACUCCUACGGGAGGCAGCAGUGGGGAAUAUUGCACAAUGGGCGGAAGCCUGAUGCAGCAACGCCGCGUGCGGGAUGACGGCCGUCGGGUUGUAAACCGCUUUCGCCUGUGACGAAGCGUGAGUGACGGUAAUGGGUAAAGAAGCACCGGCUAACUACGUG